CCUACGGGGGGCAGCAGUCGAGAAUCAUUCACAAUGGGGGAAACCCUGAUGGUGCGACGCCGCGUGGGGGAAUGAAGGUCUUCGGAUUGUAAACCCCUGUCAUGUGGGAGCAAAUUAAAAAGAUAGUACCACAAGAGGAAGAGACGGCUAACUCUGUACCAGCAGCCGCGGUAAUACAGAGGUCUCAAGCGUUGUUCGGAAUCACUGGGCGUAAAGCGUGCGUAGGCUGUUUCGUAAGUCGUGUGUGAAAGGCGCGGGCUCAACCCGCGGACGGCACAUGAUACUGCGAGACUAGAGUAAGGGAGGGGGAACCGGAAUGCUCGGUGUAGCAGUGAAAUGCGUAGAUAUCGAGAGGAACACUCGUGGCGAAGGCGGGUUCCUGGACAUUAACUGACGCUGAGGCACGAAGGCCAGGGGAGCGAAAGGGAUUAGAUACCCGAGUAGUC
Molecule: ribosomal RNA, 446 nt
Filed under: uncultured bacterium
Lineage: Bacteria
Description: partial 16S ribosomal RNA
Rfam family: Bacterial small subunit ribosomal RNA
Source: RNAcentral